This 468-nucleotide ribosomal RNA is filed under the name uncultured bacterium. Its description in RNAcentral is "partial 16S ribosomal RNA". It matches the Rfam family "Bacterial small subunit ribosomal RNA", at positions 28 to 507 of the family's 1533-position model. The record is from RNAcentral.
GAUGAACGCUGGCGGCGUGCCUAACACAUGCAAGUCGAACGGAAAGGCCCUGAGUUUGUGGGGUGCUCGAUGGGGGAACGGGUGAGUAACACGUGUGUAACCUGCCCUUGACUUUGGGAGAACAUCACGAAACUGGGGCUAAUAUCGGAUAGGAUCUCCUGCACCGUGGUGGGGGUUGGAAAGUUUCGGCGGUUGGGGAUGGACUAGCGGCUUACCAGCUUGUUGGUCGGGUAGGGGCUGACCAAGGCUUUGAAGGGUAGGCGGCCUGGGAGCGUGGCCGGCGUCAUGGGGACUACGGUACGGAGCAGACUGCUAUGUGAGGCAGUAGUGGGGAGUAUUGCACAGUGAGCGGACGUCUGUGGCGGAAGCGCCGCGUUCGUAAUGCCGGCCUUUGGGUUGUGAACCGCUUUCGCCUGAGACGAAGCGUGAGUGACGGUAACGGGUAAAGAAGCACCGGCUAACUACGUG